This 529-nucleotide ribosomal RNA is filed under the name Streptococcus thermophilus. RNAcentral describes it as "bacterial SSU rRNA". It matches the Rfam family "Bacterial small subunit ribosomal RNA", at positions 1 to 577 of the family's 1533-position model. The record is from RNAcentral. Lineage: Bacteria; Bacillati; Bacillota; Bacilli; Lactobacillales; Streptococcaceae.
UUAAUGAGAGUUUGAUCCUGGCUCAGGACGAACGCUGGCGGCGUGCCUAAUACAUGCAAGUAGAACGCUGAAGAGAGGAGCUUGCUCUUCUUGGAUGAGUUGCGAACGGGUGAGUAACGCGUAGGUAACCUGCCUUGUAGCGGGGGAUAACUAUUGGAAACGAUAGCUAAUACCGCAUAACAAUGGAUGACACAUGUCAUUUAUUUGAAAGGGGCAAUUACGAUACAUAGCCGACCUGAGAGGGUGAUCGGCCACACUGGGACUGAGACACGGCCCAGACUCCUACGGGAGGCAGCAGUAGGGAAUCUUCGGCAAUGGGGGCAACCCUGACCGAGCAACGCCGCGUGAGUGAAGAAGGUUUUCGGAUCGUAAAGCUCUGUUGUAAGUCAAGAACGGGUGUGAGAGUGGAAAGUUCACACUGUGACGGUAGCUUACCAGAAAGGGACGGCUAACUACGUGCCAGCAGCCGCGGUAAUACGUAGGUCCCGAGCGUUGUCCGGAUUUAUUGGGCGUAAAGCGAGCGCAGGCG